CAGCCGCCGCGGUAACACCAGCCCCUCGAGUGGUGGGGACUAUUAUUUGGCCUAAAGCGUCCGUAGCUGGCUGUAUCCGUCUCCCGGUAAAUCCGGCGUCCUAAGCGUCGGUUCUCGGGUGAUACCAUACAGCUAGAGGGUGGGAUAGGUGAGCGGUAUUUCUGGAGUAGGGGCGAAAUCCUUUGAUCCCAGGAGGACCACCAGUGGCGAAGGCUGCUCACUAGAACACGCCUGACGGUCAGGGACGAAAGCUGGGGCAGCGAACCGGAUUAGAUACCCGGGUAGUCCCAGCUGUAAACGAUGCUAGCUAGGUGUUGGGUCGGCCAUGCGCCGCCCCAGUGCCGCAGGGAAGCCGUUAAGCUAGCCGCCUGGGGAGUACGGCCGCAAGGCUGAAACUUAAAGGAAUUGGCGGGGGAGCAC
This 420-nucleotide ribosomal RNA is filed under the name uncultured crenarchaeote. RNAcentral's name for it is "bacterial SSU rRNA". It matches the Rfam family "Archaeal small subunit ribosomal RNA", at positions 459 to 879 of the family's 1478-position model. Lineage: Archaea; Thermoproteati; Thermoproteota. The record is from RNAcentral.